This 576-nucleotide ribosomal RNA is filed under the name uncultured Hyphomicrobiales bacterium. RNAcentral's name for it is "bacterial SSU rRNA". It matches the Rfam family "Bacterial small subunit ribosomal RNA", at positions 108 to 719 of the family's 1533-position model. Lineage: Bacteria; Pseudomonadati; Pseudomonadota; Alphaproteobacteria; Hyphomicrobiales. The record is from RNAcentral.
GAGUAAUGUAUAGGAAUCUACCUAGUAGUACGGAAUAAUUGUUGGAAACGGCAACUAAUACCGUAUACGCCCUACGGGGGAAAAAUUUAUUGCUAUUAGAUGAGCCUAUAUUAGAUUAGUUAGUUGGUGAGGUAAAGGCUUACCAAGACAAUGAUCUAUAGCUGAUCUGAGAGGAUGAUCAGCCACACUGGAACUGAGAUACGGUCCAGACUCCUACGGGAGGCAGCAGUGGGGAAUAUUGGACAAUGGGCGAAAGCCUGAUCCAGCCAUGCCGCAUGAGUGAAGAAGGCCUUCGGGUUGUAAAGCUCUUUUAGUGAGGAAGAUAAUGACGGUACUCACAGAAGAAGUCCUGGCUAACUCCGUGCCAGCAGCCGCGGUAAUACGGAGAGGGCUAGCGUUAUUCGGAAUCAUUGGGCGUAAAGGGCGCGUAGGCGGGUUAGUAAGUUAAAAGUGAAAUCCCAAGGCUCAACCUUGGAACUGCUUUUAAAACUGCUAGUCUAGAGAUUGAAAGAGGAUAGAGGAAUUCCUAGUGUAGAGAUGAAAUUCGUAAAUAUUANGAGGAACACCAGUGGCNNA